This is a non-coding RNA of Coffea arabica (coffee), 1678 nucleotides long. NCBI's taxonomy places the organism in Eukaryota, Viridiplantae, Streptophyta, Magnoliopsida, Gentianales, Rubiaceae. The record is from RefSeq and is a predicted model, not a curated record.
AAACCGAAGACAAUAAUGAGUCAUCACAGUCAAGAGAAGCAUAGCUUUCAGCAGGAGGGAUUAGGGGAAGACGGAAAGAUUAGAGGCGGCAUGGCAGCAACGCUUUCGCCAUCAAAUCAUUUGAACCCAACAGCUCACAGCAAUCCCAUCAAAGAAAGUUAUGGAAAUCUUAACCCAAAAUUCCAGAUUGGGUUCAGAGCUAGUAGUCACCUCCCACCCUCUAGAAAAGUGAGGCCAAUUACUUGUUUUGCGUUAAACCCUUCAAAAGCCCCGAACCAACUAAUCGAAAAGGACACCAAGCCACCCUUAGUCGUGGUUGGAUCAGCCAAUGCAGAUAUAUAUGUGGAGAUUGAUAGGAUGCCACGAGAGGGGGAGACAAUUUCAGCCAAGACUGGCCAAACUCUAGCUGGCGGUAAAGGGGCUAAUCAGGCGGUUUGUGGUGGGAAAUUGGCAUAUCCAACUUAUUUUGUUGGCCAAGUGGGUGAAGAUGCUCAUGGGAAAUUGAUUAGCGAGGCACUUGAGGGUGGUGGAGUGCAUAUUGACUAUUUGAGUAUAGUUUCAGAUGCUCCUACUGGUCAUGCUGUGGUAAUGCUGCAAUCUGAUGGGCAGAAUUCAAUUAUCAUUGUUGGUGGUGCAAAUAUGUCUUGCUGGCCUAAUAUUCUCUCUGAUAAGAGCUUGGAGGUAGUGAAGAAUGCUGGGAUUCUUUUGCUUCAGAGAGAAAUUCCUGAUUCUGUUAACAUUCAAGUUGCAAAGGCUGCCCAAACUGCAGGUGUUCCAGUCAUUUUAGAUGCUGGAGGAGUUGAGUCACCAAUCCCUCCUGAGCUAGUGGCUGUAGUUGAUAUUCUGAGCCCAAAUGAAACUGAACUUGCCCGCUUGACAAAUAUGCCAACAGAAGAUUUUGAACAAAUCAAACAAGCCGUGGGAAAAUGCCAUAAUGUGGGUGUAAAGCAAGUCCUUGUGAAACUUGGGGCUAAAGGCUCAGCUCUUUUCACUGAAGGAGAAGAACCAAUUAGGCAGCCUAUUAUAUCAGCUCCAAAAGUUAUUGAUACUACAGGGGCUGGUGAUACCUUUACAGCUGCAUUUGCCGUGGCUCUUGCAGAGGGAAAAUCCCAGAAAGAGUGCUUAAAAUUUGCUGCUGCAGCAGCUUCACUUUGUGUUCAAGUGAAGGGAGCCAUUCCAAGUAUGCCUGAAAGAAAAUCUGUUUUGCACCUGCUUCACUCAAAUUGAGGAUGUUUCUCAUCUUGAUUGUUUAUAACAAUUGAAUAAUAUAUAGUUGAAGUUUACUCUUCACGUCUCAUUUUCGGAAGCUGUUUAUGGCGAAUUAAGAUUUCACUGGAGCAUUUUGCAUAAUUAGAAAAUUUCAUCAAGUACAUCUGGGAUUCUAUCUCAUCAGUUCAUCCCUCCUCGUGGACGACAAGGAGUUUAUGGAAUCCUCAACUCUAUCCGUACAUGUAUCUCUGAAUAAUCGGGAUUCAAGAACUGGCUCUGAACUUGCCUGGUCUGCUUUCACUGCUUAUUUAAAUGGAAACAGAAAUCUAACAAAUUCAUCUUACAUUCUCGAAAUAUUUAAUGUUUUUCGUGAGGAUAUUUUGACAAAUGUCUUGGCUUUUGAUACUUUUUUAAACUUAGCUAGUAAAUAAUUGCCAUUUCUCAAAUCUGAAUGAAAUGGAAGAAAGCU